RNAcentral lists this ribosomal RNA (429 nucleotides) under Actinomycetes bacterium. Its description in RNAcentral is "Actinobacteria bacterium partial 16S ribosomal RNA". It matches the Rfam family "Bacterial small subunit ribosomal RNA", at positions 355 to 776 of the family's 1533-position model. The record is from RNAcentral. Lineage: Bacteria; Bacillati; Actinomycetota; Actinomycetes.
UAGGGAAUCUUCCGCAAUGGGCGAAAGCUUGACGGAGCAACGCCGCGUGGGUGAUGAAGGUCUUCGGAUCGUAAAACUCUGUUAUUCGGGAAGAACAACUGUGUAAGUAACUAUGCACGUCUUGACGGUACCUAAUCAGAAAGCCACGGCUAACUACGUGCCAGCAGCCGCGGUAAUACGUAGGUGGCAAGCGAUAUCCGGAAUUAUUGGGCGUAAAGCGCGCGUAGGCGGUUGUUUAAGUCUGAUGUGAAAGCCCACGGCUCAACCGUGGAGGGUCAUUGGAAACUGGAAAGCUUGAGUGCGGAAGAGGAAAGUGGAAUUCCAGGUGUAGCGGUGAAAUGCGCAGAGAUAUGGAGGAACACCAGUGGCGAAGGCGACUUUCUGGUCUGUAACUGACGCUGAUGUGCGAAAGCGUGGGGAUCAAACAGG